UUUUUUUUUUUUUUUUUUUUAACAAACGAGAAAACGGGAAACGACCGUUUUCUCGUUUCUGCGUAUUUCAUUUCAAAUUGGAAAACAAACUAUCAAAACGUACACGGACCGACACUGAUGAUGCAACAAAAAGUCUUCAUUUACAACAAAGGUACUUUGGGGCUGACAGACAGCCAUUGUGAAGGACACAAUCUGGCAAAAAUUUACCUGCAGAAGUGAAUGGGGGGAUAUGGGUACUUUGGGGCUGACAGACAGCCAUUGUGAAGGACACAAUCUGGCAAAAAUUUACCUGCAGAAGUGAAUGGGAGGAUAUGGGCUCUGAGGAAAAACUCUACACACAGACGCUCUACACACAGACAGCCCAAUGCUGCUAACUGGCAGAGCAGCUGGAAAACUAAAAGACAAGAAAACUAGAACAUUAAUACGGAUGACUGUAUUAUUUUUUCUGCAAGAACCAGGUCAAGCAAAGACAGUGAUGAGCACUCAGAGCAAACACAGCAGUCAGAUGCAGGAUUACACACUGGACUUUAGAGUUCUUCAACAUGUGAUGUUGGACAUUUACUGUUUCUAAAGCCAAUAAUUUAUGUGGAUGCCAUUAAUAGACCUGUUAGAUUUUGUUUUAUUUUUGAGAUUAAUAAAAUUGUAUGUUUUAACAAUGUUAUAGCUAAGCUUUUUCUUUCUUUCUUUUUUCUUUUUUGAAUAUUUAGGAGAACAUUCUGGGAACAAAAAUACAACUUCCUGCUAAAAAACUUUAUAAGAAUGUUAGGGGACAAUGUUCUAACAAUGUUAUGACUAAACAUUUAUAGAAGGUCAUCGCAAAACUUUUUUAGAGUGUUUUGUAGAGAAUGUUAUCUUACCUUUUAGAAGAACAUUCUAAGAACAAAAAUAAAAUUUCCCACUACAAACUUUAUAAGAAUGUUAGGGGAUAAUGUUCUAACAAUGUUAUGACUAAACAGUUUUAGAAUGUUUUAGAGAAUGUUAUCCUACCUUUAAGGAGAACAUUCAGGGAACUAAAAUAAAACUACCUGCUGAACAUUAUAAGAACGUUAGGGAAUAAUGUUCUAACAAUGUUAUCGCUAAACAUUUGUAGAAUGUUUUUAG
Molecule: long non-coding RNA, 1101 nt
Organism: Megalobrama amblycephala (Wuchang bream)
Lineage: Eukaryota; Metazoa; Chordata; Actinopteri; Cypriniformes; Xenocyprididae
Exons: 4
Source: RefSeq, a predicted model, not a curated record